This 236-nucleotide long non-coding RNA is filed under the name Trifolium pratense (red clover). RNAcentral describes it as "long non-coding RNA (TPRA_LNC001512)". The record is from RNAcentral. Lineage: Eukaryota; Viridiplantae; Streptophyta; Magnoliopsida; Fabales; Fabaceae.
UCAGGGAACAUUGGCUUUUCCAACAUCCUGCAAUGUUGAACUCAAGGCUCUUUACUUACCAUGGUCUUCUCCUAGCUUGGCAGUUAACAUUAAAGAGUUGUGUUGCUAUUCCGACUCCAAGGCCGCUAUCAAAUUGAUUAUCGAAUCUGUUGACGAGUGGCAUCAUUGUACAGACUAACUAGCAAAGCUUGGAGCUCGCAACAAUGACGCUUUCUCCAUUAUGGCAAGCCUACCUG